RNAcentral lists this ribosomal RNA (464 nucleotides) under uncultured bacterium. RNAcentral's name for it is "partial 16S ribosomal RNA". It matches the Rfam family "Bacterial small subunit ribosomal RNA", at positions 339 to 795 of the family's 1533-position model. The record is from RNAcentral.
CUACGGGGUGCUGCAGUGGGGAAUAUUGCACAAUGGGCGAAAGCCUGAUGCGGCCAUGCCGCGUGUGUGAAGAAGGCCUUCGGGUUGUAAAGCACUUUCAGUAAGGAGGAAAAGUUAGUAGUUAAUACCUGCUAACCCUGACGUUACUUACAGAAGAAGCACCGGCUAACUCCGUGCCAGCAGCCGCGGUAAUACGGAGGGCGCAAGCGUUAAUCGGAAUUACUGGGCGUAAGGCGCGCGUAGGCGGCUUACUAAGCCAGAUGUGAAAGCCCCGGGCUCAACCUGGGAACUGCAUUUGGAACUGGUUCGCUAGAGUACAGUAGAGGGUGGUGGAAUUUCCAGUGUAGCGGUGAAAUGCGUAGAGAUUGGAAGGAACAUCAGUGGCGAAGGCGGCCACCUGGACUGAUACUGACGCUGAGGUGCGAAAGCGUGGGGAGCAAACAGGAUUAGAUACCCGUGUAGUC